UGAUAACAAACAUCAUCAAUGGUGGCCUUGAAUGUGGUCAGGGAGGGCCAAAUGAUGCAAACGAGGAUCGCAUUGGGUUCUACAAGACAUACUGUGAUUCACUCGGAACGACCUAUGGCUCCAAUCUUGACUGCUACCAGCAAAAGCCUUUUGGAUAUGGACUCUUGGGAUUGAAGGAUACCAUGUAAUUUGAUGUUGAAGCUAUCAUGUCUUUAAAUAACGAAAGCUUUUAGCUUAUCGACCUUUUCUAUUUCCACCGGUAGGAUUAAAUCAUGCUGUGGAAGUCCAAAGCGUUCUCUAUUUUCCUAAUAGAGUUGCGGAGCUUUUGAUGGUUUUUGACGCGAGGUGCAACUAUAACCCAUAAAACAAGAUUAAAAAAAAAAAAAAAACCCUAGUAUCAAUUUAAAUUACAUAGAAGAAGAAGAAGUCAGGAACAUCGCUGUUAGCUAGUUAUCUAUAUAUAUCAUCACUUAAAGAUUCUUUGAAAGAGUCUAGUUAAUAAUCAAGGUGCAACUAGCAUAAUAAAGUUCGGUCUAUAUUGGUGGCCAGGAAAAAGAUUGAGAGUGAUUUUUAUGAGCAGAUAAAACUGGAUUUGUCUAGGUUUAAUGGACCAGCAACACCCGAAAGAAAAAUACUCUAAUAUUUAUAUCAGUAUAGUACAUAUACAGGUGAGGUGACGGGAAGAGAAUAAAUGAUAUUCUCUAAAUUUAAUGUUUUUAAUUAAAACCGUGUUUAAAUUUAUAUUAGACUUGUGUUAUUUAGACAUAUAUAAAAUAUAGAGAAAUAAAAUUAAAAAAAUUAUAUAUAUAUUUUUAAGAUAAAUAUAUUAAAAAUAUCUAAAUUACAAUUUAUUUUAUAUAAAUAUCUCAUUAAUAUCCAAAGAAAUUUAUAAAAAUAUCUAUAAAGAUAUGUAAAUUAUUAUAUAAUACUAUAAUGAGAAUAAUAAAGAAAAAUGAUUGGAUGAACCAAGCAAAGCAAAGACCAACUUAUCGAUUGGAUGAACCAAGCAAAGCAAAGACCAACUUAUCUGAUGCUAGUGGGCUGACUAGGCUCGCCUAACUUGAAUCCUGAUUAGAGUUUUUACAAACGUGAUUGUAUUAGUAUUUAAAAAAAAUUAAAAUUUAUAUAUAUAUAUAUAUAUAUAUAUAUAUUAGAUUGAUAUGUUAAUUUUAAAAUUAAUUUUUUUAAAAAAUAAAAAAAAUAUUUUAAAAAACAACCACAUCCUCACACCCACUUUCAAACUAAAAAUGGUAAUAUUUAUACAUCAUGCCACGUGUAAAUUAACAAUCUUGGAACGAUAUUGUUCAAGUGCAUGAACCAAACUAAACCUAAUUUAGUAGCAAGCAAUUUCCCUUUUCACUUUUUGAGAUAUCUCCCUCUUCAAAAAGUCAAACAUAGUAGAGUUGAUAAUUCUACGAGUGAAGUGACAUAUUUUGUUGUUUUUCUUGACAACGCGGACACUGGGUUUAAGAGCUAUAAUUAUUGUUUUUCUAGUGACAGGCUCGAGUCUGUAGGUAGGUUUAUUUGAAACAUCACAAGUUAUAUGAUAAGAAAGUUUCCUUUGAUUUUUAUUUUUUUUAUCCUUUUUACUUUGGAUUUUAGGAUUAGUGUUGACAAAUAUUUAUUUUUCUGAAAUAUAAAUAAAUAUGAAUUAAUAUACAAGUUGAUUUGAAAGGAUUCCUAGCUCUUGAAAUAAAAUAAAUAAGUAAAUUGAUUUUAUAUAAUCAAAGUCGAGAAAGAUUUUGAGGACUAUAAAAAAGAAGGAACUAAAGCCAGAAGAAAACAUAUUCUAAAAAAAUAAUAUUUUUCUCUACUAAAAGAAAGAGGAAGAUGAAUAAAAAAUGCUUUUUAUUGAUAUUUUUCUCACCAAUAAAUUGAUUAACCCUCGGCCCACAACAAAACAAUAAAUCAUCUCCAAUUUCCACGUUUUGAGAAGAACUUAUCUCUAGUACCUGCUUUCUUGUCCUCAUGUAAAUAACUCCCAAAUGACAAAAACGUUAUUAAAGAGCAUAUUCCUACAUGAACCCUUGUGAUAGAAUUUCAACGCUCGAUAUCUCCUCUUCUUCUCUCUAAUGGAUUUAAAAUAAAUUAACCCCUGUCAAUACGACACUAUCCCUGAUCAACCGGUGUCUAUCGCACUCUAAACUAAAGUGAUGGGCCAACAUCAGCUGAUAUUUACAGCAAAAGUCACGCACAUGAAGCUAGAGAUUAAUCUAUGUUAUCGGGAAAAAAAAGUUAAGAAAAGGAAGGCAGAAGACUAGACCCUAAAAGCCGCCAUCUACUGUUCAUCAAUUUAUUAUAUCUUCUCUUUAAUUAAUACAUAGAUGUUAAAUCCUCAUGAGGUCAGACUAUUAUGGUUUAAAAUCAUCUAGAAAAGUACUAGAUUGGAUAAAUGAGCAGCCAUCAUUAUUGAAACAGUCCACAGUUUUUAUUAACAAGCGACAGAAAUAUUAAGUAUUAAGUGACAGAAGUAUUAUUGAAACAGUCCACAGUUUUUAUUAACAAGUGACAGAAGUAUUAAGUAUUAAGUGACAGAAGUAUUAAGCAGCCAUGUUUUUCCUGGUAGGUAAUUCAGUCAUAAAAAUUAAAAAUAAUUUUUUAUAAUUUUAAAUUCGAGUUUUAUAAUUAAUAAUAUAAUAAUUAUUAAAAUUUAUAUAAUCGUUAACUUUAAAUAUUUUUUUAUAGUUUUAAAUUCAAGUCCUAUAAUUAAUAAUAUAAUAAUCAUUAUAUACUUAUAUAAUCAUUAAUUUUAAAAUAUAUAAAAUUUAUCAAGAUUAACACAGGCUAAUCUAAAUACUUAAAUUAAUUUUAAAAAAGAGUCACAUUUCCCCUAUAUAUACUAAUGCUGUUACGAUCUCAAAAUCAACAAAUCCCAAACAAAACACUUCAAAAUGAAGAUCUGGGCCUUCACGGUUUUCUCUCUAUUGCUGUCCCUUUUACUAGGAGGCUCAGCUGAGCAGUGUGGAAGCCAGGCCGGGAGUGCCCUGUGUCCGGGAGGUCUAUGUUGUAGCCAAUUUGGUUGGUGUGGCAACACAAAUGAUUACUGUGGUAGCGGCUGCCAAAGCCAGUGCGGUGGUGCGAGCGAAGGAGACCUUGGCAGUAUCAUCUCAAGUACGAAGUUUGAUGAGAUGCUUAAACAUAGAAAUGAUGGUGGAUGCCCUGGCAAGGGAUUCUACACUUACAAUGCUUUCAUCUCAGCUGCCAAUGCCUUCUCUGGCUUUGGCACUACUGGUGAUGCUGCCACUCGUAAAAGGGAGAUCGCUGCUUUCUUGGGCCAAACCUCACAUGAAACUACUGGUUCGUUUAAUCGGUCUCAAACCUAAUCACUGAGCUUAGUUUAUAUACUUCUUCAAAUAACAUUAUAUAUCAGAGGAAUAUUAGUAAGUUAAUUAUCAUGAUUUCAUUUGAUGAAUGUACAUGUAGGAGGGUGGCAAACUGCACCUGAUGGUCCAUACGCUUGGGGAUAUUGCUUUGUCAAGGAACAAAAUCCUGGAUCUUAUUGUUCUCCAAGUUCCACAUAUCCAUGUGCUGGUGGCAAGCAGUAUUAUGGCAGAGGUCCUGUCCAGCUUUCAUGGUAAGUCCAGAUUUUUUAUUAUUGUUAUCUGGUAGGUAUUUUUUUCUUCAUUUCUGGGUUUACAUAUUCAUCCACCCAUUUUCAAGCAUUAAAAAUCAAAUUGAAAGAAUUCAAGUGUGUGUGUGUGUUAUUUAGCACGACUUUGCAGUGAAGUUAAUUUAAUUUGAUAAAUAUGACACAGGAACUACAACUACGGGCAGUGUGGAAAAGCUAUAGGAGUGGAUCUAUUAAACAACCCUGACCUAGUUGCAACCGAUCCAGUAAAGAAGGGAGUUGCUGCAUCAGUAUCUUAAACCCAGAUGCCAAUUUAUGUCAUGCUCUCUGUUUCUGAUUAUUCAAAUCUAAAAUUGAUCAAAACCCGCCUGUUACUUGUACCCACACGAAGAGAGAGAGAAAAGUAGUAAUACUAAUAAUAACAAUACUGACCAGCUAGAACCGAUAAGGCAAUACUGACCAGCUAGAAACGAUAAGGUCUCUCCGAUUAGGAGAAGCCACGUUUGGAGGUCCGGAGACAUGAAACGCAUAUGGGUGUGCUUCUUCUUCUUGAACCACCACCAUAUCCCUCUUCUGUACUUCACCACUACAGCUGUUUGUCAUUUACAGUUUAUAUCCUUCUUCUUCUCCGUAUAGUUUGAGACACAGACAGAGAUUGAGAGAAGGAAACUGUGCGUGGAUUCGGUUUCGCUGAGAUUUGAUAAGUUUCCUUCUUUCUCAGCUUUUUAAUUGGUUAGCUUUGCUUCCAUGGAAUCUGAUUCUCUCCCUGUUUGAUUCAAUUGCUGCACUAUUCAAAUUCUUUCUUUCAAAUCACAAUAUUUGAAAGCCUAACGUUGUCGGUUUAUAAUUAAAUGACUUUUUUGUCCCUGGAAAGUGUUUUUUGUUCCCGGAUGAGUAUGAAAGCGUGUGUGCUGUGUCUCGGGAAAGGGAAAGGAGCCAGGUUCCUUUACCGGGCUCUAUCUUCCACGAGAAGUAAAGUUAAUGGGUUGUAGGGGUAUUUUUGGUAUUGACGAUGGGACUUUCUGUGGCCUUCAGCUUAGGCUUUGCUGUGCUGUUUGUAUUUUAAAAAUAUUAAUUUUUUUAUAUUUUAAAUUAAUAUUUUUGUUGUAUUUUUGGAUUAUUUAAUGUAAUAAUUUUAAAAUUAAAAAUUAUUUUAAUAUAUUUCUGGAAAAAAACCCAACAAAACAUACUAAAUUUUUAAAUAUUUUAAAGUCUUUUUUAUCUAUCCAUGCCUUCAAGCUUUAUGCCCACUGCGCUUCUUUUAUAGACAGUCAGGAAAGAUAUGGAGACUCGUUGUUUUUGCUAAUAGAGUUGGGGGCACAAAUUAAUUAAGCAGCCCGAAAAUGGAUGGGAAAAUUGAUUAGAGCAAUUUAUAACUCCUCUGUGUAGUUGUAAACUUGGAACAACCCAAGACUUGGUUAACCUAGAGCCCGUACAGGUUUGGAUUAAAAAAAAACUUGACUGAUCUAAUCAUAAAUAUGAAUCGACUUGCUAACUCAAUUAAAACUCAGUCCUCAGCUAUUGACUUUAUUUUUAGAAGAAAAAAAAUAAACAAACAUUAUUAUUUUAAAUUUUUAAAAAAUAUAGUUUAGAGACUAACCCUCCCAAUCCGUAAUCAAUGUCUGGCUCGAGUUAACUCAGAUUGGGUUAUACAACUGUGCUCUUCUAUGUCACUCUUCUGGAUUUUGGAUUAGACUAUUCUAAGCUAGAUUUAUACUUUCCACACUUGUUUAGAGCCUUUAAGCUUAAAAUUAUAAUGACUACCUUGCAUGUCAGGCCUGUCUAAGAACCCACGACCACUUCUAGAAGCCCACAUACUUGGACCAAAGGCUUGGAUCGUGUAGAGGAGUCAUUGGUCCCGGACCCGACUCAAGUAUCCUUCUCCUCUUCUUCUUUUUUUAAUCUUUAUUUUAAAAAUCACAUAAUAAGAUCCUAGAUAAUUAAAAUGUAAAAAAUAAUAAACUUCCAUAUUCUAACCACAACACUAUAAAUUAAUAUUUCUAAAUAAAACAACAAAAACCAGACCAUAAUCCAUUCAUGUACACAAUAUAAACAAAAAGAAAAGAUAAAAUAUAUUUUAAAAAAUAUGAUGUUAGGUAUGGAUAGGAUGAUAGAAAAGGUAAACCCUCACCCCAGCCCUCGAUUAGUAAAAUAUUGUUGUUAUCUAUUUUUUGAUUUUCACAUUAAAAAAAACAAAAAAAAAACAUGUAGCAAUAAGAAAAAGAUAUAAGAAUGCCUAGAUAAUGGUCAAGGAUUGAUUGAGAAAGUUCAAGAAUAUAAAGAAUAAAAUUUAACAAUAUAUAUUUUAUUGAUGAAGAUUCUAUUGACAAAGAAAAUUCAAUCCAAUAAAGGAUUGUCCAAAACCAGAUGUUUAAGGACUCAAUUAUAUUUUGUUAAAAGAUUAAUCGAGUUUAUGAAGGGUUUGAUUGCAAAAAAAUUAAUUUUUAAAUCAAUUUAGAUUUUAAUUGAAAGAAAUUAAAUUUAAAAGGCAAUUUGAUCGAACAAUGAAAGAAUUAAUAAAUUUGGAUAUUUAAUUAAACUUUGAUUUAAUUAAUACAAUAAAAACUUAAUUAAAGAAAUACUAAACUUUGAUUUAUAAAGGUUUUUAUUGUAAGAAAUUAAAAUCUAGAAAAAAGAACAAGACAAGAAAAAAGAAACCAAGCAAAGAAAAGCAAGACCAGAGGAGAAGGCACAAAGAGCAGAGGCAGAGGGGAAGAAAGUAGCUUUGGCCUGUCAGCAUAUAUGUAACAUGUAUCGCAGUAAUCGUAACGAGGGUUAAUUGUGUGAUGGAGGCCUAUGUUACAGCCAAUAUGAUUGGUGUGGCCUCUUCUAACAUUAAUCGAAUUGCGUUUUGUUACGUAUGUUUUUUAUCAAAUAUUUUCGGUCACAAAUCCAUCAUGAGGCGUGUUUGUGAAGGAUUUUUGCUUGUUUAUAACUGAAAAUUCGAUCACAAAAAUAGCUUUUUUUUAGGUUUUUUUUGAAAAUAUAAUAUUGAUUUUUUUAAAAUAAUAUUUUUCAAUUAAAAAUAUAUUAAAAUAAUAUUUUAAUUUUUUAUUAUACGAAGAAUAUUCUUUAUGUGUAAAAGAAUAAUGUCACUUAAAAAUUUAAUUUUUUAAGCAAAGUCUUAAUAAUAUAUUUUUUUAUAGUAUUUUUUAAUACAUAAUUUUUAAAUAAAAUCUAUUUAAGUUUAAAACUUAUACUGGGAUAUAUUACUUUAUAUUUAAUUUUUAAAAUCUCACAACACAUAUAAUAUUUAUAGUUUUAUUAUUUAAUAUAAUUAUAUACAUUUCAAAUAUAUAUUUUAUAAUUUUAUUUUUUUAAUGAAAAAUAAAAAUUUUAUAAGUAUAAAUAUCUGAAAUCUAAUGAAUAAGAUAUAAAUAUUUAAUUUGUUUAUUAAUAAAUAAUAAAUAAAAUAUAAAUACGAGGAAAUCGAUACGAGGAUACUAUUGCCGCUGUUUUGUAUUGGACCUUCGGCUUUCGUCUUGCAGUGUUCCGUACCCUAGGAUGCUCUCUCUAGCUAGCGUCGAAGUUGCUUUAAUAAAUACUCUGCCAUGUGCAUUAAUAUCGUACCAAUUUGGCUCUGUUGAUAAUUAAUUCCACCGAGCACGUUUUAUUCAUUGAUAUGGACUUUCUAAAAGGAGCGGGACCAUCUCCUAUGAGAGAUGUUAUAUUAAAUAACUAAAUUGGUAACAUAGUUUUUUAAAUAAUAUAUAUUUAUUUAUUUAUAUGUAUUUUAAUGGUAAAAAACUAUUUAAAAAAAUCAAUUAUAUUUUAAUAUAUUUUAUAAUUUAACUAAUUUAGUUAUUUUUAUAUAAUAUAAUCAUGAUAUUAUUAAUUAUAUAAUUAAUAUGAGUAAUUUAUUAAAUUAAUAAAGUAAUAUGAAAGUUAAAAGAUAUAGUUUUAAGUUUAAAUUUAAAAUUUAUUUAUAUGAAUAUUUUUAUUUUUAUAUUAAUGUUAAAUUUUUGAUUUUUGAAGUUGAGGCACAAAUGCUUUGAGAUUUGUAAGUUUCUGUUUUUGUGUGUUUUUAAAGAGAGAAAAAAAAAGAGAUGUUGGCUAGGCAAGUUGUUAAUUAUUUUCUUACUUUUAUUUUUAUUAUUUGAUGAUGGAUUUUUUAAUUAUUUUCUAAUUAAUCUCUGCUUGUUAAUUUUUAUCAAGCCUAAUAAGGUGGGUGUUACGUCGACACUUGGCAUCUUAAUGUGUUGUGCCACUUGUGUUCAAAAAUUUUGGACAUGGAAAAAACCAGAAUACAACAAAAAAACAUGCCAAUAAUGAUCCACAGUUAGAGUAAAACAUUGACAACUAACUAAUUGAUUCUAAUAAAAAUACCUUGUUGUUAAAUCUUUAUUAAAUAAAGACAUUCAAAUAGCCAUGAGUAAGAAUACAUGCCCUAAAAUAGAAAAUCAAGAAUAAAAUAUUCAAUCAGAAAUAAAAUAAACAAUUCAUGUUUAUUAGAGAAAUUUAAAUAUAGAAAAUUAAAGAGAUUAAUACACCUUAAGUUAAUAUGACACGAAUUUUCAUUAGGAUAUUUCAAUUAUUUUUAUUUUAUCUAUUAAUUUGAUAAAUUUUAUUUCAUAUUUUGAAAAAAAAUCAUCUCUUCAAAAAUACUGGAUCUUCCAAUCUUGUGGUGGUGAUUAUUAAACUAAGAACCAUUGAUUUUGCAAAAACAAAAAACAAAAAACAAAAGGCCACCCAAAGAAAAGUGUGUGGCUGGACCACUGGUUGGAUUCCUCAGGAUAUUUUAAUCAUUUUUAUUUUUCUAUUAUUAGGACAUAUUUUAUUUAAUAUUUUGAAGAAACAAAAUCAUCCAUUCGAAAUAAUGGAUCUUCAAAUCUUGUGUUGAUGAUUAUUAAAAUAAGAUUUGACCACGCAAAGAAAAGUUUCUGGCUGGAUUCCUUAAGUUUAUUUGAAAGCGAUCACAUUUUACCUUUCUUUUUUUUGUCUUUUGGACACAGCAAGCGGUGUCGCAUUUUGUUCCACACAGCUGCGAUGCUUAGCUUUCAGAUCCGUCCGAAGGCUAAAAUCCAUAAUCUAUUUCAUGACAUUUAUGUCUGUUUUUCUUUUAAAAGUCAUUUUACAUUUUCAAAUUCACAAAAGUGUUGUGGAUUCUUUAUCUCGAUUCUGGCUUAACGUUGAUUAUUGUGUUUUUUUUUUUCUCUACAUUCUGUGAGAUCCUUAAUUAUAUAUGAACUCCAUAAUUUCUAAGAAGUUAUCUUUCAGACUUUCCAAAAUCUAUUACCGGAUUGGUUUUGUUUUGAGUUUAAUUAUUAAUUAGUUAAUUUUAAUAUAUUAUUAUUGGGAUCUUUCAAGCUUCACCAUUACUUUUGUGGGAUUUGUCAAUGAUUUCUUACCUCAGGAUGUUUUGAAUGAUUAUCUUUGAAACCCUCGAAAUUCUAUCAUUCAUUGAACAAGUCGUGGUUUGACAAUUACAUAGUUUAUUUAAGUAUACAAAUACUAAUAAUAUCUUUACAAAUUUUAUUUAUUUUUAUAUACAAAAUAUAUAAUACCUGCAAUAUCAAAUAGUUUUUUUUUUUAUCGUCCAUAUAAUUAAGGAAUUACUAAAAUAACAUUUUAUAAUAUUUUAAAGAAAAGACAUUAUAGUGUCAAAUUAGAUACCCUAAGUUUUGGGGAUAGAAUAAUAAAUUUAUUUAAAUUCUACAUAAAUCUCCCGGUAUAAACUAAAUAAUGAAAACAUAUUAUUAAUUUUUUUAAAAAAAUUAAUCAAAUAUAAAAAUAAUAUUAUCAGUUAUAACAUUAAAAAAAACAUAAUUAUCAAAAUAAAUUUCUCUUAUAAAAUUUAUUUCAAUACAUUAAUAGCUUAAAUUUAUUUCAGUUUCAAUUAACAACUCUAACAUGAUAGCUAUAUAAUAACUAAAAUGUUAUUUUUUUAUUCUAAAAUGUUAUUUCUAUACUUUCUUGUAAAACAACCAAAAGUAAGAGAAAAUACAUAUACCAGCCAACAUCUCUUUUUUUUUUCUCCUCUUUAAAAACACAAAAAAAACAAAACCUGCAAAUCUCAAAGCCUUUAUGCCUCAACUUCAAAAAUCAAAAUUUUAACAGUCAUAUAUAAAAUUUAAAAUAUUCAUAUAAAUAAAUUUAAAGUUUUAAAAUUUUCAAUUUAAACUUAAAAUUAUAUCUUUUAAUUUUCAAAUUACUUCAUUAAUUUUAUAAAUUACCCAUAUUAAUUAUAUAAUUAAUAAAAUUAUGAUUAUACUAUAUAAAAAAUAAUUAAAUUAGUUAUAUAAUUAUAUUAAGUUAAUUUAAUUAUUAAAAGUAUGUUAAAAUAUAAUUGAGUCUUUUAAAUAGUUUUUUACUAUUAAAAUGCAUAUAAAUAAAAAAAAUUAUUCAUUUUAAAAAAAUUAUUUUAUUAAUUUAGCUAUUAAAUAUAUCAUCUCUCAUGGAGAUGGUCCAGCUCUAAAAAGUCCAUAUCAAUGAAUAAAACGUGCUCGAUGGAAUUAAUGAAAUUAAUGCACAUGGCAGGGUAAUAAUAAAGCAACUUGGACGCUAGCUAGAGAGAGCAUCCUAGGGUACGGAACACUACAAGGCGAAAGCCGAAGGUCCAAUACAAAACAGCGGCAAUCUGAUUUUUUUUUUUUUUUUUUCCUGCGAGGAAGUUGUCGUACCUUCUUAUCAGCAUGGAAAUGAUGGGGACAAAGAUGGCACUUUCGUUACCGUCUCCAUGGAAAACACGAUGUUUUAUUACAAAUUAUUAUAAGGACGGAAAUGCCAUCGUAUACCUCUAUUAUUGGCUAUAUAUACCCCCAUGCUUUCACCUUCUCAACCAUCAACGAACUCAAGCAUAUUAACAAGAAAUGAGUGUUUGGGCAUUCGCAUUUUUCUCCUUAUUCUUGUCCCUUUCGGUUAGAGGCUCAGCUGAGCAAUGCGGCAAGCAAGCCGGGGAUGCCUUGUGCCCAGGAGGCCUAUGUUGUAGCCAACAUGGUUGGUGUGGGACAACGAAUGAUUAUUGCGGUAAUGGCUGUCAGAGCCAGUGUGAUGGAGGAGGCGGGGGUGGUGGAGGCGGUGGUGGAGGUGGAGGUGAUGGUUACUUAAGUGACAUCAUCCCAGAAUCAAUGUUUGAUGAAAUGCUCCCGUAUAGAAAUGAUCCUCGAUGUCCUGCUGCUGGGUUCUACACCUAUGAUGCUUUUAUCUCCGCUGCUAAGGAAUUCCCUGAUUUUGGUAACAUUGGUGAUGAUCAGAUGCGUAAAAGGGAGAUUGCUGCUUUCUUCGGCCAGACAUCUCAUGAAACUACCGGUAGGGUUUUAUUUUUUAUUUAAUUCCUUGCUCAUAACUUCAAUCAAAGUAGACUCGUUGUACAAACUCAUUAUGUAAUUAAUUAAAUAAGGUUAUCCUUGGUUGAUUAAUUUGCUUGUCUCUAAUUUGACAAUGCAUGCUCCUACAUAAAGGAGGGUGGCCAACUGCACCUGAUGGCCCAUACGCUUGGGGAUAUUGCUUUCUUAGGGAAAUAAAUUGUCAAGAUUAUUGUGACCCAUCUUCCAAAUAUCAAUGUGUUGCGGGCAAGCAAUACUGUGGCCGAGGACCAAUCCAACUUUCAUGGUAAUUCCGCAAGGCCUUGACGAGCAGAGUCAUUUAAUUCAGUUUAUAGGUUAAGUAAUUUUUUUAUAUAUGGAAUAUAUUUUGUGAAGUACUUGCAUUGAGUUAGUUUAUUAACAUGUGGUGCAGGAACUAUAAUUAUGGGCUCUGCGGAGACGACUUGAAUUUGCCACUGUUACAAGAACCAGAACUUGUUGAGACUGAUCCGGUCAUUGCCUUCAGGACAGCACUCUGGUUUUGGAUGACACCACAGUCCCCAAAGCCCUCUUGUCACGCAGUCAUCACUGGAAGUUGGACACCGAACGAGGUAGACUCGCAGGCUGGUAGGGUUCCAGGCUAUGGUGUGAUAACAAACAUCAUCAAUGGUGGCCUUGAAUGUGGUAUGGGUGGGCCAAAUGCAAACGAGAAUCGCAUUGGGUUCUACAAGACAUACUGUGAUAAACUCGGAACAACCCCUGGCCCCAAUCUUGACUGCUACCAGCAAAGGCCUUUUGGAUAUGGACUCUUGGGAUUGAAGGACAUCAUGUAAUUUGAUGUUGAAGCUAUCAUGUUUUUAAAUAACGAAAGCUUUUAGCUUAUCGAC
This 11699-nucleotide long non-coding RNA is filed under the name Populus tremula. Its description in RNAcentral is "long non-coding RNA (PTRE_LNC002875)". The record is from RNAcentral. Lineage: Eukaryota; Viridiplantae; Streptophyta; Magnoliopsida; Malpighiales; Salicaceae.